Molecule: unclassified non-coding RNA, 345 nt
Filed under: soil metagenome
Description: partial contains 5.8S ribosomal RNA, internal transcribed spacer 2, and large subunit ribosomal RNA
Rfam family: 5.8S ribosomal RNA (bases 1-120)
Source: RNAcentral
GAUGAAGAACGUAGCGAAAUGCGAUACGUAAUGUGAAUUGCAGAAUUCAGUGAAUCAUCGAGUCUUUGAACGCACAUUGCGCCCCCUGGUAUUCCGGAGGGCAUGCCUGUCCGAGCGUCAUUGCUGCCCUCAAGCACGGCUUGUGUGUUGGGCCUCCGUCCUCCUCCCGGGGGACGGGCCCGAAAGGCAGCGGCGGCACCGCGUCCGGUCCUCGAGCGUAUGGGGCUUCGUCACCCGCUCUUGUAGGCCCGGCCGGCGCUUGCCGACACAUCAAUCUUUUUUCCAGGUUGACCUCGGAUCAGGUAGGGAUACCCGCUGAACUUAAGCAUAUCAAUAAGCGGAGGA